GUGAGGAGGCACCCAUGCAUAGAAGAUGCAUAUUGUAAUGGUGCCGACGACCUGCCGCCGAACGAAGGUGAGGGGGGCGAUACAUCAU
This 88-nucleotide non-coding RNA is filed under the name unclassified sequences. The record is from Rfam.